GAGCCCCAAGAACAGAUGCUGUGUUCUCACGUUCUCACUGUCCGAAGAGAAGGAGCUUCUGGCUGAGAGCAGAGAUGCCUCGUGUCCAGCUAGGCCUCUCCUGCCAUGGCCUGUUGGUCAAACUACACUGGCCGGUGCUGGUGAUCCUGCAUGUGCUGCGUUCCCGGUGCCGUGGCCUUCACUGGGAGAGGAUCCGGGGCUCAGAGAGCCUCCGUGGUUUGGCAGCAGAGUCAUGGGAUGCACCCCAUGACUGGCUAAUUGGUCCCUUAGCACCAGACUCAGACAUCAUCGUCCUGGCACUGCUGCCCUGCUGCCUGGCACACCCUCUCCACCAGGCGCACUGGGGACAGAAAGAGAAGCUCUGUCAGCAUGUGGACCCACCCAACCACCAGCCAUGCCAGAGGAUAAAUCAGUAUUCAGUGCUUAGCGUGGCCCUGUGGUCUUGGCCUCCUCUGGCUACUUCCUGUUGGAGUCAGCCCUUGUGCUCCCUAAUCUCAUGGUGAGAAAACUUUGUUUCCAGAGAAGCUGUCCAGCGUGGCUAUUAGCAGGGUCACCUCUCUCCAGCAGAGGAGCUGGACUUCUUACCUGGAAGCUCAGGACUUUGUAGGAAGCUCCCAGGCCUUAAAGGUGAGGCCAUGUCUCACAGGAUUUUCUGGGGGGCAGAGUGCAUGUGCAGCAUGUCCCCCAGGGUCUGGCCCCCACUACUACCAUCGGCUAGCUCUGGUGCCGUGGUGCCUGAAAUACUGGUCUCAGCCUGCACACCUAGAGACGGGAUGCAGACCUAACGCUCUGCGUGUAAGCCUUCCAGUUUUAUCUCCCAAAGCUCUCCCCUUUUACGCCCCACUCUCUCCCUAACUGAACCCCAUUCCACCGAACACCCUGUGUGCCCAUGCCUCUGCACACUCUGCUCUCUGCCCAGAGUACCCUGCCUCCAGUCAUCUGGGUGGGUGGCCAAUUCUCCACCAGCUCUCCUCCUCCCCUGGGCCUUUCCUGACCAUCCCUAUCCUCAUCCCCAGAGCUGGCUUUCUGUUUCUUCUCCCAGUUGCUCAGAGGUGACAGUGGCUCAUCUGGAUGGUACACAGGCAGGGCCCAGCGGUUGUAGAGCACUUCUUAGGAGCCCGAGAAAGCAGCCCUGGAGGAAGGCUGCUCAGAGGCCUGGCCCUGACAGUGACGGUAGUGACUGGCAGUCAAACAGGGGGAAGGCAAACACAACUCUGAAGCUGGGCUCUGAGGUUCAAAACCCACUUAUAGGGACACUUGGGUGGCUCAGUGGCUGAACGCCUGCCUUUGACUCAGGGUGUGAUCCUGAGG
Nyctereutes procyonoides (raccoon dog) is the source of this 1311-nucleotide long non-coding RNA. RefSeq lists it as uncharacterized. The transcript is spliced from 3 exons. Lineage: Eukaryota; Metazoa; Chordata; Mammalia; Carnivora; Canidae. The record is from RefSeq and is a predicted model, not a curated record.